RNAcentral lists this long non-coding RNA (1143 nucleotides) under Felis catus (domestic cat). RNAcentral describes it as "lncRNA (ENSFCAG00000053560.1)". The record is from RNAcentral. Lineage: Eukaryota; Metazoa; Chordata; Mammalia; Carnivora; Felidae.
AUGGCCUAUUUCCCAAGGGCAAUUCACACACUGUCAUUUAUAGAGUUCUGUUGUCUUCAUGAAGAACCACGAAGGGUAAAAUCGCCUCACAGAGUCAGAGGGAAGGUGGGAGAGUGGCCUCCAACUUCCAACCCCUGGAGGAGCAAGGUGAUUCCUGUUCAUCAAUCAAGGGUCGACGGAGAUCAGAUCUUAAUAAGACACUGCUUUGCCUUUUGGAGCAGGGCGGUCGUUUGUCUCCUACUCCAAGAGAGCUAGGAAGCAGGAACCGUCUGCAUAGGGCUUGCCGUCACCCACAAAUGUCACCCCUCCAUUCCGGCACUGCCACGUGCUCUGACACCAUCAGGGAGAGAUCUGGAAAUGUUAUCCCUUCCUCUUCUUCAAGAUUAAGAGAGUUGACACAGCCAUAGAGCUUGACAGGUGGCUAAAAGCGUGUGAGGUCCCUCACGGCAAGUCAGAGCUCCCGGUCCUCCUGGGAAGCAUGAGGGACCCUGUAAGUCGUCGUUCAAGUGCCUGAGUGAUGAGGCUGUUGGAAUCCCACCUCCGACCCGCUGUGAAACCCUAGGCAGCUCAACCUCCAGUUGCCUCAGCUUUAUUUGCUUAUAAGUGGGGGUGAUGACAGCACUCAUCUCGUAGGACUGUUAGGAUUGAAGAAGUAACUAACGUGAUUAGAACCAUGCCUGGCCUGUAAGUGCUAUGCUGAUCCCAUGUUACAGGUGAGGGAAACUGAGGCUUGGAGAGAAGAAGGGCUCUUCCCCAGGCCCCACAGCCAGUUGGUGGCAGAAUCGAAGAUCUGAUCUCUGUGACAUGAUCUUCCAGCUUUGAGGAGCCUGAUGAGCCCCAGCGAGGAGGGACCCUCCUCCUUCCCCAUCUUCCCCAAACAGUGAUGCUCCUCGCCCUUUGGACAGGACAAACAGGUACCUGGAAGAGAGGAGAAAAAAGAAGAUGAUGCGAAAAGAGAUCAAGGCUUGUUAACACUCUGCCAUGCACCAGACCGUCAGACUGGGACUCGGAAAACUUAUUUCUGUAAAGAGCCAGCUAGUAACAGUUGAGUCCUUGGGGGCCCUCUGGUCUCUGUCGCGACUACUCACCUCCCCAGGGGCAGCCACAGGGAAUAUAUAAAUAAAAGGGCAUGGCUGUGUUCCA